Molecule: non-coding RNA, 528 nt
Organism: Hypanus sabinus (Atlantic stingray)
Lineage: Eukaryota; Metazoa; Chordata; Chondrichthyes; Myliobatiformes; Dasyatidae
Source: the annotation of a RefSeq genome assembly
AUGUUCAGUGAUACGUGCUUGUCACUGGAAAUGAAGGAACCCUCGCCCUCUCAAUCGGCCGUCCUCUUCUGCGCUUGCUGUACCUCGCAGAGCUUCAAGAGGUGGACCUCCCUUAGAAAACCGUUCCCCAACUUGGACGAUGGAGCGGCGAACUCGCAGACAAUCCGGCAGACUCCAGUGGCCUACAGCGGCUCUCCAGGAGACACCGUGACACUGAGAUGCACUCUGACGGGCAGCGGUACCUUUAGUAUGUUCUGGUACCGGCAGCGGGCGGGAGAGCAGCUUCGGAACCUGUUUUAUUCCGUGAGCCCGGGUUCGGUUACACCGCAGGAGGCUGUCGAUGGAUUCACCGCCGUGCGACCCGAAGAAACGCUAUUCCUCCUGAACCUCUCCGAGCUGCAAGUCAGUCACUCGGCCUUGCUUCUCUGCGCCUGGAGUACUCACAGCGGAGCCGACAGAUACAGGAGCGCUACAAAAACCCUUCAGAAGCGAGAGUCAGGGGAGCGGAAGCCAGCUGGAGGGCUGUAA